AAUCUAGAUCUGGUUGGUUCUCAAGAAAUUCCUAUUGCAUCAUGUUGACAAUUUUUAAUAUGUUGUACCAAUUCCACAAAUACUAUGUGUAUUUAAUAUAAAUAUAUUAAAAGAUAUAGUUGAAUAGAUAAACAAGCUGUGGUAUAUCCAUAUUAAGGAAUACUACUCAGCAGUAGAAAGGAAUACAACUUCACAGCUUAGAUGAAUCUCAAAGGUCUUGUGCUGAGUGAAAGAAGCUAGUCUCAAGUUACAUACCUUACAAUUCCUUUUUUAGGAGUUCCUGUUGUGGCUCAACAGGUUAAGGAUCUGGCAUUGUGCAAGCUGCAGCACAGGUCUGGGAUGCAGCUUGGAUCUGGUGUGGCUGUGGCUGUGGCAUAGGCUGGCAGCUGCAGCUCCCAUUCGACCCCUAGCUCGGGAACUUCCAUAUGCCGCAGGUGCAGCCUUAAAAAGGAAAGGAAAAAAAAACAUUUUUAUGUCAUUCUCGAAAAUCCACAGCUACACAGUGAUAGAGUACAGAUCAGCGGUUGCCACAAGCUAGGAGUCAAUGUGGGGUUUGGCUCUAAAGAAACAGCACAAGGGAGCUCUUUGGGUGAUGGAGCUGUUCUGUAUCCUAAUUGUUGCGACAAUUAUCUGAAAUACGUGUGGGUUAUCACUCAUAUGAUUCAUGUUUUUGGGUAUCAAAAAAAACAUAUUUGAAGUGUGGAAAAAAAAUACAGAAAAGAUAUCACUGUACUAAGACUUCUGAUAGUUUUAGAGUUUGGUGCUUACGCACAAAGGUGACAUGUUAUGUGAGAGUUUUUAAUCCCAUACAGAAAGGUGUAAAUUUUGACUUACCUAUAUUUGAAAGAUGAUAAAAUGUGAUGCUUAGGAAAAAUGAAGACUGAUCAUGUACCUGCACCAGUCUUUUGCUGUUGGUGUGCGUGUGUGUGUGCGCGUGUGUGUGGUGUGUUUUAUCCUAAAGAAUAUUGUAAACGUUUCAGACAAGAAUCCAGCAUAUUAAUAGAAACAUUCCACCCAGUAGCUGGGGAGAAUGGAGACAGUGUUCUCCUGCCACACUCCUUCUUGUGGGAACAGAUGGCAGAAAUAGGCACCCAGUCCCAAUGAUUAGGGGAAAUACCCAUUCCUGUGAAGAACGAGAUAACUAGGAAAGAGAGCUUGGAAAAAAACACAUUUGUGCCAAUUGAACCUAGGAAAUAGAGUUUGAAAAGAGGCUCCGGCUGGUGGGAGAGUACCAGAAAGUUAUUGUUCAUUCCAAAGAGUGGGUCACCAUCUGGCCAUAUCCACUGACCACGUCCCCGUGCCACACCUAAGUGUAACAGCUUAUUCAGAAUUGACUUAGGCGCUUGCAUCACUAAAGGUUAAUGACAGAGGCGUGGGAGGAAGGAACUGGCCCUUUAAAUGGUUCUUCUGUAGAAGACGAUUGAGCUUGGCCAAGAUGUCAGACAUGUUAUCAAAUGAGUUAAUGCAUGUGAAAAGUGGGUACUACAGAUUGUAGGGUACCACGGAAGUGUCAGUUAUCAUGAACCCUAAACUGGGGACCCUGACUCAAUGGAAUUUAUCCAACUAGAGAAGAACAUCUGAAAGGCAACCGAAAUGCCACAGGCCCAGUCUUUGAAAUUUGUAAACGUGCGCGCAUUUCAGGUGGACAUAAUCCAUGUGGGUCUGUGCAGGGUGCCGCUAUUCAUCCUGCACAUUAAUAAAUACAUACAAAUGAGCCGAAAAUGGAGAAGUCCUCAGUAAAACCACAGCAGCCCAUCUUGAUGAGAUUACCCUUUCAGAAAAAUCCAUUAAAAUGCAAAUAUGUUAAACAAAUCAAAUUUGGGAGGUCAAAUUUUCUGGGGAAAUGCAGUCUGUUCGCAAUAUUGCUUCUCUACAGGAUUUCCAUCUGAAUUGUACUAAUGAUGUGCAGACUGGGACUGCAAUGAAAGAAAAAUUUCUGAGACUGUGGGCUUCAGCUUUAGCAGAUGUUGUAUGUUGUGGUAACUAAAUCAAAAGGAGGUGGAUAAAAACGUUUGCACAUACUUUACAUACAUUUGCUGGAAGAGAGAGACUCUAUAAUGAGCAAUUCAGAGAAGAAAUAAGGAUGUAGACACUAUUUUAAAAGAACAUAAUUCAGAUAUAUCAAAAUAUUAAGUAUAUUUAUGAUAUUACACUAAUGUCUUCUACUAGGCAUCCUGGGUAAAGGCUUGAGUUCUGUUUUUAUUUGUUUUCCUGCUUGUUUUUUUUUUUUUUUUUUCUUAGGGCCGCACCUGCAGCAUAUGGAGGUUUCCAGGCUAGGGGGCGAAUUGAAGCUGUAGCUGCUAGCCUACACCACAGCCACAGCAAUGCCAGAUCCGAGCCGUGUCUGCGACCUACACCACAGCUCACAGCAACACUGCAUCCUUAACUCACUGAACGAGGCCAGGGAUUGAACCUGCAUCCUCAAGGAUACCAGUUGGGUUUGUAACCACUGAGCCACAACAGGCACUCCAGCUUGAGUUCUGUUUUAACAGUGACUUUCUAAACAGAGCUCCUCUCCAGCCAACUGAUUCACAAGUGACAGUGAGGAUGUUGCAUUCGAUGUGUUUGUGGCUCCCAGGCUUCUCAAAUGAAAACUAGAAUUCAGACGGAGAUAGCAAAUAGCGACUUGGUUUAUCAUGAGUGCCUUGUUCUGCCCAAGGCUUAGGCUUAUCCUUUUGAAUGCAUCCAAGCAGGACUGUUCAAAGGUGCUGCCUGUGGUAACUCGGUUCAGAGGAAGUCCGCCAGCCUCAAAACAUUGUGGUUUUGUGUGUGUGUGUCUUUAUACACCUCAGAAAACUUGCAUCCCUGAUGGUAUUCUUAGCUCCAUCUUUCUUUGCUCUAACAGCGUUCCCCAAAUCUGCUGUGCUUUGGCAUCCCUAGAAAGAGGUUGAAACUCUUACUGCCCAGGUCAUACCCUCAUCCAAUUAAAUCAGAAUGCUAGCAGUAGAAGCAGGCAACAGGAGUUUUCCAAAUAAUCCCCUGACGAUUCCAAUAUGAGCAAAAUUUGAGGACCACUAAUUUAUGGCCAGUCUGACAUAGAACGUAGUGCUUGACAUAUGUGUGGCAUUCCAUGCAUAUUUGUAGAACAAAUGAAAGAAUCUAAUCUUAUCAAAUAGUCUUCCAGCUGUUAGGGUGCAGUUGCACCCUCUUUGCAAUAAUUUCCCCAGUACUCACUCUCUGUCAAUAAAUAUUUUUUGAAAAAAAAAUCUAUCCUAAGAAAAUAAUGGAAACUUCAGACAUUAAGGUUUAACCAUAUUAUUAUUUAUAACAUGAUAAAAUGGAAAAAUUCAAAUGUCCAACAACAUAACAUGUUUGAGUAAAUCAUGCAAUACCAACUCAAUAGUAUAUAAUGUCACAAAUAAAAAUAUUCACCAAAUGCUUUUUAAGAGCACUGAAAAAAUUUUAUUAGAAUAAUAAUUACAGGGAGUUCCCCUUGUGGCUCAGCUGUAAGGACCCCAACUAGUAUCCACGAGGAUGCAGGUUCGAUCCCCGGCCCCACACAGUGGGUUAAGGAUCCAGCGUUGCCGUGAGCUGUGGUGUAGCCUGCAGACAUGGCUUGGAUCCCGCAUGGCUGUGGCUGUGGUGUAGGGCCACAGUUGCAGCUCUGAUUUGACCCUAGCCUGGGGAUUUCCAUAUGCUGCA
RNAcentral lists this long non-coding RNA (3642 nucleotides) under Sus scrofa (pig). RNAcentral's name for it is "lncRNA (ENSSSCG00000059403.1)". Lineage: Eukaryota; Metazoa; Chordata; Mammalia; Artiodactyla; Suidae. The record is from RNAcentral.